UACGUAGGGGGCAAGCGUUGUCCGGAAUCAUUGGGCGUAAAGAGUGCGUAGGCGGUCCGGUAAGUCCGCUGUGAAAGUCAAGGGCUCAACCCUUGAAUGCCGGUGGAUACUGUCGGGCUAGAGUCUGGAAGAGGCGAGUGGAAUUCAUGGUGUAGCGGUGAAAUGCGCAGAUAUCAGGAGGAACACCGAUGGCGAAGGCAGCUCACUGGCCAGGUGCUGACGCUGAGGUGCGAAAGCGAGGGGAGCAAACAGG
This 253-nucleotide ribosomal RNA is filed under the name uncultured bacterium. Its description in RNAcentral is "partial 16S ribosomal RNA". It matches the Rfam family "Bacterial small subunit ribosomal RNA", at positions 524 to 776 of the family's 1533-position model. The record is from RNAcentral.